RNAcentral lists this ribosomal RNA (460 nucleotides) under uncultured bacterium. Its description in RNAcentral is "partial 16S ribosomal RNA". It matches the Rfam family "Bacterial small subunit ribosomal RNA", at positions 338 to 795 of the family's 1533-position model. The record is from RNAcentral.
CCUACGUGAGGCAGCAGUGAGGAAUAUUUGUCAAUGGACGAGAGUCUGAACCCGCCAAGUAGCGUGAAGGAUGACUGCCCUAUGGGUUGUCACCUUCUUUUAUCUGGGAAUAAAAUGUUCCACGUGUGGGAUUUUGUAUGUACCAUAUGAAUAAGGAUCGGCUAACUCCGUGCCAGCAGCCGCGGUACUACGGAGGAUCCGAGCGUUAUCCGGAUUUAUUGGGUUUAAAGGGAGCGUAGGUGGAUUGUUAAGUCAGUUGUGAAAGUUUGCGGCUCAACCGUAAAAUUGCAGUUGAAACUGGCAGUCUUGAGUACAGUAGAGGUGGGCGGAAUGCGUGGUGUAGCGGUGAAAUGCUUAGAUAUCACGAAGAACUCCGAUUGCGAAGGCAGCUCACUGGACUGCAACUGACACUGAGGCUCGAAAGUGUGGGUAUCAAACAGGAUUAGAGACCCCAGUAGUC